CCAGCAGCCGCGGUAAUUCCAGCUCCAAUAGCGUAUAUUAAAAUUGUUGCAGUUAAAAAGCUCGUAGUUGAAGUUCUGCUAAAAGUAACCGGUCUGCUUUUAAUAAAAGUGGUAUCUUGGUGUGUAUUUAGCAAUGAUGUCCUUUGAAGUGUUUUUUACUUUAUUGUAAUAAAGCAUAUUCAGGACUUUUACUUUGAGAAAAUUAGAGUGUUUCUAGCAGGCCAACGCUUUGAAUACUGCAGCAUGGAAUAAUAAGAUAGGAUUUUAGUUCUACAUUAUUGGUUUUAAGAGCUAAAUUAAUGAUUGAUAGGGACAGUUGGGGGCAUUUGUAUUUAACUGUCAGAGGUGAAAUUCUUAGAUUUGUUAAAGACAAACUACUGCGAAAG
This 386-nucleotide ribosomal RNA is filed under the name Hepatozoon canis. RNAcentral's name for it is "SSU rRNA". It matches the Rfam family "Eukaryotic small subunit ribosomal RNA", at positions 567 to 951 of the family's 1831-position model. The record is from RNAcentral. Lineage: Eukaryota; Apicomplexa; Hepatozoidae.